GGGCCGGUAGUUCAGUUUGGUAUGCUGUGGAGGCCAAUGAACGCCCGCUUGGCAUGUGGGAGGUCGCGGGUUCAAAUCCCGCCCGGUCCACCA
This 93-nucleotide transfer RNA is filed under the name Candidatus Bathyarchaeota archaeon. RNAcentral describes it as "tRNA-Ala". It matches the Rfam family "tRNA". Rfam says of the family: Transfer RNA (tRNA) molecules are approximately 80 nucleotides in length. Their secondary structure includes four short double-helical elements and three loops (D, anti-codon, and T loops). The record is from RNAcentral. Lineage: Archaea; Thermoproteati; Candidatus Bathyarchaeota.